UUUUGCCUUCCCUACUUUGAAGUGCUAUCCUCUAUCCAAUUAUGGAAACUGGCUGUCAUCAAGUCUUUUUACUUCAACCUUGAAAACAUAACCAAAAUUUCUCCCUUUUGGUACGUUCUUUCCAAAAGCCCAUCUCUUAGCUCAGAUUCUCAUCAUCUCUUGACUGGCCAUCACAAUCUCUGUGCAUUAGGUCUUCCUGGUUUGUGUUUAGCCCUGCACAGUUUGCACUUCAUUUAACUAGUUGAAUGAAGCUUGUGUAUGUAAAGAUUUUAGUUGGACCAAACACACCUAUGUUCUCUUCCUCUAGUAAUCUCAUCAAAAUCGAAGAAUAACAAAAUUGGGGCUGGAUAAGCCAUAGAUGAGGGAGGGACCACCAGCACAUGGGAUAUGUAAGCAAAUGUAAGAAAGUCUGAAAGCACCUAGAGGACAGGUCCUCCAGCAACGAGCCCAGUUGCAGCUGAGGGGAAUGGAUUCAGCUGACCAGAAUGCUCAUUAGCCAGGCAGACCCAUGGAGGCUUUGGGAUUCAGAUUUGUUGGGUAGAACAGAGCACGGGAUAUGAAGGCAAAAAGAGGAAUUGCCAGAUUGCCACACCCUUUCUUCCCCUCCCUUCCCAUAUGCAUCAUAUAAUACCUAAUAUGAAGCAUGUCCAUUUCCAGAAAAAAGUCUCUAUGCUCUAGACCCUUUCCAUGGAGAGAUGAACAACAACCAAAAAUAUGUGUGUGUAUACACAUUAGAUAUAUAUGAUAUAAAAAUAUAUUUGACACAUAGAAGAGAAUAUCUAUAAAAUCUUAAAAUUGAAUAUAUAAAAUUUAUAUUAUUUAUAAUUAUAUUGAUAAUUUGUUUAUAUAUAUAUAAUUUAACUCUGGUUGUUUCUUCAUUUGAAAAGUAAGGUCACCUCUAGCUCUGACAAUCCAUGAUUUUUUCUCCCGUAUGCAAAUUUAUACCUGUCCUCUGAUCAUUAAACCAACCUGCUGAACAGAUAUUUAAAAAAAAAAAAAAAAGAAAGAAAGAAAGAAAGAAAGAAAGAAAAAGACCGCAUUGCCCUCUUAGGCUUGAGCUUCAUCACUGCAGAAUCCUGAAAGAAUUUCUAAUAAAGCAUUUGAAUCUUCUAAUCUGAGGGCGUGGUAAGCCAUAAGAGAAAACAUGCCUGUAGAACAGCCUGGAGUUAUUCUCCUUUCUAUUAACAAUACCAUUUAACAAUUAUUUAUCAAAUGCUCAUGAUAUGCCAGAUGUUUGGCUAAAUAUUUGCACAUAUGAUCACAUUUGAUAUUCAAACAGCUUGUCAAAGUGGACAUUAUCAUUUCCACUAUGCAGAAGGGGACACUAUGGCUCAGCAAAGGUAAGCAACUCCAUGCCAUCACAGAGCUAAUAAACAAGUUGCCUUUGCAACAAAGGCAAUUUCCUAUGUCAAAUCCAUGGGCCUUUAAAACAUGUGCUUUUAGCUAAUUACAUUCUACUGCCUAGUGGUGAAGCUCUACUAUUGGCUUUUUUUAAAAUUUUUAUUUAUUUAUUUAUUUAUUUAUGAUAGUCACACAGAGAGAGGAGAGAGGCUGAGACACAGGCAGAGGGAGAAGC
RNAcentral lists this long non-coding RNA (1576 nucleotides) under Canis lupus familiaris (dog). RNAcentral describes it as "lncRNA (ENSCAFG00845007527.1)". Lineage: Eukaryota; Metazoa; Chordata; Mammalia; Carnivora; Canidae. The record is from RNAcentral.